AGAGUUUGAUCCUGGCUCAGGAUGACCCUUAGCGACAGGCUUAACACAUGCAAGUCGAGGGGCAGCGGGGGCGUAGCAAUAUGCCUGCCGGCGACCGGCGCACGGGUGAGUAACACGUAUGUAACCUGCCCUAUGCAGGGGGAUAACCCGGAGAAAUCCGGCCUAAUACCGCGUAACACCUUAGGGGAGCAUUCUCUUGAGGUUAAAGGAGAGAUCCGGCAUAGGAUGGACAUGCGUCGCAUUAGGUAGACGGCGGGGUAACGGCCCACCGUGCCGACGAUGCGUAGGGGUUCUGAGAGGAAGGCCCCCCACACUGGUACUGAGACACGGACCAGACUCCUACGGGAGGCAGCAGUGAGGAAUAUUGGUCAAUGGCCGAGAGGCUGAACCAGCCAAGUCGCGUGAGGGAAGAAUGUCCUAAGGAUUGUAAACCUCUUUUGUCGGGGAGCAAAAAGGCUUUGCGGAGUCGUAUUGAGAGUACCCGAAGAAAAAGCAUCGGCUAACUCCGUGCCAGCAGCCGCGGUAAUACGGAGGAUGCGAGCGUUAUCCGGAUUUAUUGGGUUUAAAGGGUGCGCAGGCGGCGUGUCAAACAAGCGGUAAAAUAGCGGGGCUCAACCCCGUCGAGCCGUUUGAACUGGCGCGCUUGAGUUCAGGCGAGGUAGGCGGAAUUCGUGGUGUAGCGGUGAAAUGCAUAGAUAUCACGAAGAACUCCGAUUGCGAAGGCAGCUUACCAGUCUGCGACUGACGCUCAGGCACGAAAGUGUGGGUAUCGAACAGAAGUAGAUACCCUGGUAGUCCACACAGUAAACGA
This 811-nucleotide ribosomal RNA is filed under the name uncultured bacterium. RNAcentral describes it as "bacterial SSU rRNA". It matches the Rfam family "Bacterial small subunit ribosomal RNA", at positions 8 to 809 of the family's 1533-position model. The record is from RNAcentral.